This 497-nucleotide ribosomal RNA is filed under the name uncultured bacterium. RNAcentral describes it as "partial 16S ribosomal RNA". It matches the Rfam family "Bacterial small subunit ribosomal RNA", at positions 28 to 507 of the family's 1533-position model. The record is from RNAcentral.
GAUGAACGCUGGCGGCGUGCCUAAUACAUGCAAGUCGAGCGAACAGAUGAGGAGCUUGCUCCUCUGACGUUAGCGGCGGACGGGUGAGUAACACGUGGAUAACCUACCUAUAAGACUGGGAUAACUUCGGGAAACCGGAGCUAAUACCGGAUAAUAUAUUGAACCGCAUGGUUCAAUAGUGAAAGACGGUUUUGCUGUCACUUAUAGAUGGAUCCGCGCCGCAUUAGCUAGUUGGUAAGGUAACGGCUUACCAAGGCAACGAUGCGUAGCCGACCUGGGAGGAGGAGCAGCACAGCGAGAACGAAGCGAGGGUCAAGACACCUAGGGAAGGAGCAGGAGGGGAAUCUUCGGAAAGGGGAGAAAGCCGAACGGAGCACCGCGGAGGGGGUAAAGAGGGUCUUAGGAUCGAAAAACUGUUUUAUUGGGAAAAAAAAAAUGUUGAAGAAAAAAUGCACGUCUUGAGGGUACCAAAUAAAAAAGCACGGGCAAAGUACGUC